UCGAAAGGGAAACAGCCCAGACCACCAGCUAAGGUCCCAAAAUAUAUGUUAAGUGGAAAAGGAUGUGGGGUUGCACAGACAACUAGGAUGUUAGCUUAGAAGCAGCUAUUCAUUCAAAGAGUGCGUAAUAGCUCACUAGUCGAGUGACCCUGCGCCGAAAAUGUACCGGGGCUAAAACAUAUUACCGAAGCUGUGGAUACCUUUUAGGUAUGGUAGGAGAGCGUUCUAUGUGUGAAGAAGGUGUACCGUGAGGAGCGCUGGAACGCAUAGAAGUGAGAAUGCCGGUAUGAGUAGCGAAAGACAGGUGAGAAUCCUGUCCACCGUAUGACUAAGGUUUCCAGGGGAAGGCUCGUCCUCCCUGGGUUAGUCGGGACCUAAGGAGAGACCGAAAGGUGUAUCCGAUGGACAACAGGUUGAUAUUCCUGUACUAGAGUAUAUAGUGAUGGAGGGACGCAGUAGGCUAACUAAAGCGUGCGAUUGGAAGUGCACGUCUAAGCAGUGAGGUGUGAUAUGAGUCAAAUGCUUAUAUCUCUAACAUUGAGCUGUGAUGGGGAGCGAAGUUAAGUAGCGAAGUUAGUGAUGUCACACUGCCAAGAAAAGCUUCUAGCGUUAAUUAUACUCUACCCGUACCGCAAACCGACACAGGUAGUCGAGGCGAGUAGCCUCAGGUGAGCGAGAGAACUCUCGUUAAGGAACUCGGCAAAAUGACCCCGUAACUUCGGGAGAAGGGGCGCUGGCUUUAAGUCAGCCGCAGUGAAUAGGCCCAAGCAACUGUUUAUCAAAAACACAGCUCUCUGCUAAAUCGUAAGAUGAUGUAUAGGGGGUGACGCCUGCCCGGUGCUGGAAGGUUAAGAGGAGCGCUUAGCAUUAGCGAAGGUGUGAAUUGAAGCCCCAGUAAACGGCGGCCGUAACUAUAACGGUCCUAAGGUAGCGAAAUUCCUUGUCGGGUAAGUUCCGACCCGCACGAAAGGCGUAAUGAUUUGGGCACUGUCUCAACGAGAGACUCGGUGAAAUUUUAGUACCUGUGAAGAUGCAGGUUACCCGCGACAGGACGGAAAGACCCCAUGGAGCUUUACUGCAGUUUGAUAUUGAGUAUCUGUACCACAUGUACAGGAUAGGUAGGAGCCUAUGAAAUCGGGACGCUAGUUUCGGUGGAGGCGUUGUUGGGAUACUACCCUUGUGUUAUGGCUACUCUAACCUAGAUAGGCUAUCCCUAUCGGAGACAGUGUCUGACGGGCAGUUUGACUGGGGCGGUCGCCUCCUAAAAGGUAACGGAGGCGCCCAAAGGUUCCCUCAGAAUGGUUGGAAAUCAUUCGCAGAGUGUAAAGGUAUAAGGGAGCUUGACUGCGAGAGCUACAACUCGAGCAGGGACGAAAGUCGGGCUUAGUGAUCCGGUGGUUCCGCAUGGAAGGGCCAUCGCUCAACGGAUAAAAGCUACCCUGGGGAUAACAGGCUUAUCUCCCCCAAGAGUUCACAUCGACGGGGAGGUUUGGCACCUCGAUGUCGGCUCAUCGCAUCCUGGGGCUGUAGUCGGUCCCAAGGGUUGGGCUGUUCGCCCAUUAAAGCGG
Molecule: ribosomal RNA, 1568 nt
Filed under: human gut metagenome
Description: bacterial LSU rRNA
Rfam family: Bacterial large subunit ribosomal RNA
Source: RNAcentral